GCGCUAAACAGCUAGCUUAAACACCACAUUAAAUGAACAAUAUAAAUAAAAUAAUAUAGACCUAAAAUUAUUAAUUAAACCAUUUU
RNAcentral lists this ribosomal RNA (86 nucleotides) under Cobitis minamorii minamorii. RNAcentral's name for it is "partial 16S rRNA". Lineage: Eukaryota; Metazoa; Chordata; Actinopteri; Cypriniformes; Cobitidae. The record is from RNAcentral.